Long non-coding RNA from Cebus imitator (Panamanian white-faced capuchin), 180 nucleotides. RefSeq lists it as uncharacterized. NCBI's taxonomy places the organism in Eukaryota, Metazoa, Chordata, Mammalia, Primates, Cebidae. The transcript is spliced from 3 exons. The record is from RefSeq and is a predicted model, not a curated record.
CUAAUAUGCUGUAAGAAACUGGCUAUAUGGUAGGAUAUGUGGAAGAAAACAAAGACCCCAGCCAACAUACUCAAUGGAGCUCCCAAUGGAUCUUUUUGCCAACCACUUUGAAAACUGAUCUACAAAACCCACUUGAGCUAUCUCGAGAGAAGUCACAUGGGACAGAGAAGCAGACGGAUC